GAUGAACGCUGGCGGCGUGCCUAAUACAUGCAAGUCGAGCGAACAGACGAGGAGCUUGCUCCUCUGACGUUAGCGGCGGACGGGUGAGUAACACGUGGAUAACCUACCUAUAAGACUGGGAUAACUUCGGGAAACCGGAGCUAAUACCGGAUAAUAUAUUGAACCGCAUUGUUCAAUAGUGAAAGACGGUUUUGCUGUCACUUAUAGAUGGAUCCGCGCCGCAUUAGCUAGUUGGUAAGGUAACGGCUUACCAAGGCGACGAUGCGUAGCCGACCUGAGAGGGUGAUAGGCCACACUGGAACUGAGACACGGACCAGACUCCUACGGGAGGCAGCAGUAGGGAACCUUCCGCAAUGGGCGAAAGCUUGACGGAGCAACGCGGCGUGAGUGAUGAAGGUCUUCGGAUCGUAAAACUCUGUUAUUGGGGAAGAACAAAUGUGUAAGUAACCAUGCACGUAUUGACGGUACCUAAUCAGAAAGCAACGGCUAACUACGUG
This 497-nucleotide ribosomal RNA is filed under the name uncultured bacterium. RNAcentral describes it as "partial 16S ribosomal RNA". It matches the Rfam family "Bacterial small subunit ribosomal RNA", at positions 28 to 507 of the family's 1533-position model. The record is from RNAcentral.